This 253-nucleotide ribosomal RNA is filed under the name uncultured bacterium. RNAcentral's name for it is "partial 16S ribosomal RNA". It matches the Rfam family "Bacterial small subunit ribosomal RNA", at positions 524 to 776 of the family's 1533-position model. The record is from RNAcentral.
UACAGAGGUCUCGAGCGUUAGGCGGAAUCACUGGGCUUAAAGCGUGUGUAGGUGGAUCGUUAAGUACCUUGUGAAAUCCCACGGCUUAACCGUGGAACUGCUUGGUAUACUGGCGGUCUUGAGCCACUUAGGGGCUACCGGAACAAAUGGUGGAGCGGUGAAAUGCGUAGAUAUCGUUUGGAACGCCAACGGUGAAAACAGACAGCUGGGAGUGUGCUGACGCUGAGACACGAAAGCCAGGGGAUCAAACAGG